UACGGAGGGUGCGAGGGUUAAUCGGAAUUACUGGGCGUAAAGCGCGCGUAGGUGGUUUGUUAUGGUGAAUGUGAAAGCCCCGGGCUCAACCUGGGAACUGCAUCCAAAACUGGCAAGCUAGAGCACGGUAGAGGGUGGUGGAAUUUCAUGUGUAGCGGUGAAAUGCGUAGAUAUAGGAAGGAACACCAGUGGCGAAGGCGACCACCUGGACUGAUACUGACACUGAGGUGCGAAAGCGUGGGGAGCAAACAGG
Molecule: unclassified non-coding RNA, 253 nt
Filed under: uncultured Pseudomonadaceae bacterium
Lineage: Bacteria; Pseudomonadati; Pseudomonadota; Gammaproteobacteria; Pseudomonadales; Pseudomonadaceae
Description: contains 16S-23S intergenic spacer region
Rfam family: Bacterial small subunit ribosomal RNA
Source: RNAcentral